GGUCGAGGGUUUUAGAGAUUAACCAACUGGUUGGAGGAGUAUGUAUAGUGAAAGUAAAUGUUCUUUGAGGUGUGACAGUAAUUUUACAAGGCACUGGGGUAUUUGGCAUCCAACCUGCCGUCCGCGCAUUAAAUUCUUUACAAAAGUCUAUGCUCUUCAACCCGCGAGCACCAAGGGCAGGUCCAAUUGGAGGCGUAGGCGUAGCUUUUCCUGCCGGUACAAUUAAUUUUAUGAUUGUCGUUCUAGUAGAAGCCAUAAGGUUAAAGAAGAAAAUACAGUUGUAAGUUGUA
Non-coding RNA from Schizosaccharomyces pombe (fission yeast), 290 nucleotides. The record is from the annotation of a GenBank genome assembly. Lineage: Eukaryota; Fungi; Ascomycota; Schizosaccharomycetes; Schizosaccharomycetales; Schizosaccharomycetaceae.